RNAcentral lists this long non-coding RNA (322 nucleotides) under Lathyrus oleraceus (garden pea). Its description in RNAcentral is "Pisum sativum (pea) long non-coding RNA (PSAT_LNC017461)". The record is from RNAcentral. Lineage: Eukaryota; Viridiplantae; Streptophyta; Magnoliopsida; Fabales; Fabaceae.
UUUCUGGUUUUUAAUUUUGUUUGCAUGAAAGCCACACGUUUUGCCCGAAACGUAAUGGUCCAUUGUAAGGGCCACCUCAUGUGUUUCAUUUUGCAACAUUUUGCAUCAGUAAUAAAUGGAUGUUUUUGUAGUUAAAAGCGGUGUUCCCUGUUUUUCAUUUAAUUUUGCAGUUUUAAAAACAAAUAAAUGGCAAUGUUUUUCGUUCUAUUUCCUUUUGAAUUUGUCUCGGUCCAACCUCAAAAGUGAUUACCCUUCUGAUCUCAUCGAUAACAAUUUGGUUACAUCUCUGUAUGACUUCGACAAUCCGAUCUAUCAUGCCAAA